GCCCGUGUGGUGGAAUUAGGUAGACACACCACACUCAAAAUGUGGCGCCCCAGGGGGGGCGUGCGGGUUCGAGUCCCGCCACGGGUA
Molecule: transfer RNA, 87 nt
Filed under: Caudoviricetes sp.
Lineage: Duplodnaviria; Heunggongvirae; Uroviricota; Caudoviricetes
Description: tRNA-Leu
Rfam family: tRNA
About the family: Transfer RNA (tRNA) molecules are approximately 80 nucleotides in length. Their secondary structure includes four short double-helical elements and three loops (D, anti-codon, and T loops).
Source: RNAcentral